GGGACACGUGGUAUCCUGUCUGAAUAUGGGGGGACCAUCCUCCAAGGCUAAAUACUCCUGACUGACCGAUAGUGAACCAGUACCGUGAGGGAAAGGCGAAAAGAACCCCGGCGAGGGGAGUGAAAAAGAACCUGAAACCGUGUACGUACAAGCAGUGGGAGCACAGGUUUACCUGUGUGACUGCGUACCUUUUGUAUAAUGGGUCAGCGACUUAUAUUCUGUAGCAAGGUUAACCGUAUAGGGGAGCCGGAGGGAAACCGAGUCUUAAUUGGGCGUUAAGUUGCAGGGUAUAGACCCGAAACCCGGUGAUCUAGCCAUGGGCAGGUUGAAGGUUGGGUAACACUAACUGGAGGACCGAACCGACUAAUGUUGAAAAAUUAGCGGAUGACCUGUGGCUGGGGGUGAAAGGCCAAUCAAACCGGGAGAUAGCUGGUUCUCCCCGAAAGCUAUUUAGGUAGCGCCUCGUGAACUCAUCUCCGGGGGUAGAGCACUGUUUCGGCUAGGGGGCCAUCCCGGCUUACCAACCCGAUGCAAACUGCGAAUACCGGAGAAUGUUAUCACGGGAGACACACGGCGGGUGCUAACGUCCGUCGUGAAGAGGGAAACAACCCAGACCGCCAGCUAAGGUCCCAAAGUCAUGGUUAAGUGGGAAACGAUGUGGGAAGGCCCAGACAGCCAGGAUGUUGGCUUAGAAGCAGCCAUCAUUUAAAGAAAGCGUAAUAGCUCACUGGUCGAGUCGGCCUGCGCGGAAGAUGUAACGGGGCUAAACCAU
Molecule: ribosomal RNA, 772 nt
Filed under: Salmonella enterica subsp. enterica
Lineage: Bacteria; Pseudomonadati; Pseudomonadota; Gammaproteobacteria; Enterobacterales; Enterobacteriaceae
Description: partial 23S ribosomal RNA
Rfam family: Bacterial large subunit ribosomal RNA
Source: RNAcentral